This 68-nucleotide transfer RNA is filed under the name Thermoproteus sp. Its description in RNAcentral is "tRNA-Leu". Lineage: Archaea; Thermoproteati; Thermoproteota; Thermoprotei; Thermoproteales; Thermoproteaceae. The record is from RNAcentral.
GCGUGGCUCAUAAAGGGCCCCCGGCCCGAGUAGCCGGGAGGACCCGGGUUCAAAUCCCGGCCCCCGCA